Long non-coding RNA from Peromyscus eremicus (cactus mouse), 749 nucleotides. RefSeq lists it as uncharacterized. Lineage: Eukaryota; Metazoa; Chordata; Mammalia; Rodentia; Cricetidae. The record is from RefSeq and is a predicted model, not a curated record. The transcript has 3 exons.
GAGGAGGGAGAAGAAGGAGGAGGGAGAAGGAGGAGGAGGAGGGAGAAGAGAGGACCUCAGCAGCUUAGCAUGUAAGAAGGAAAGAGGAGCCUCUUUCCCACAAGGCCCUCAUGCUGCUCACCUUGUUGCCAGAAUUGUGAAUGCAUUUUUUGGCCAGGGCCACAUUGGCAUCUGCUUCACUGCAGCAACAUUCCCAGGAGUGCUACUGCCUACCCCCUCUUGCAAUGACAGAGCGGAGUGGGAAGAACCAGGGUUCUGAAGUCGUCCAUACAGGCACCAACCUGCCCACUGGAGUCUGCUGGCUAGAAGGCCCCAAGGUUCUCUCCCUUUAGAUGUGCCUGCCUUUGGAGAUCUUAGACAACAUAUCUGUCAUUCAGAAAAGAACAUGGACAGCUGAUCUGUGUGUAACUUCUCUAAAGUCCUCCCAAUUCAAAAGGCAUGAAAGGAAGUCUACCAGGAAAAAGUUCAUUCCAGCUAACAGCUAAGAACUUCGAGGAGCUUGGGCAGGACUUGAGGCAGUGGGCUGAUGAGAUAACACUCAGAUAUCACCAGCCCUGUUACUCAGAUAACCACAGCUAAUUUGUCAGAAUUUCCAACUCCUUGUCACAACGUUUGAGGAAAUAUCUACCUCAUAUAUAUAUAUAUGAGACCAUUUGAAUCAUAUGUAUAGAUCACAUGAUAAAAAUGAAUGGUAGCAUUCUAACAUGUGCAAAGUCAAGCCAUUUAAUGUCUGACCACCUCUUUAUCCU